GCGGAGCGCUGGAUCUUGGGCUGUGUCCCUUGGCACCCUGGGCUCUGGGGCCUGCGCCGCUGGGAUCACGCACCCGGGGCAGCGCAGCUUCCU
Molecule: microRNA precursor, 93 nt
Filed under: Canis lupus familiaris (dog)
Lineage: Eukaryota; Metazoa; Chordata; Mammalia; Carnivora; Canidae
Description: mir-8799 microRNA precursor family
Rfam family: mir-8799 microRNA precursor family
Source: Rfam by way of RNAcentral